This 253-nucleotide ribosomal RNA is filed under the name uncultured bacterium. RNAcentral's name for it is "partial 16S ribosomal RNA". It matches the Rfam family "Bacterial small subunit ribosomal RNA", at positions 524 to 776 of the family's 1533-position model. The record is from RNAcentral.
UACGUAGGGUGCGAGCGUUAAUCGGAAUUACUGGGCGUAAAGUGUGCGCAGGCGGCCAUGCAAGUCGAGUGUGAAAGCCCCGGGCUUAACUUGGGAAUUGCGCUCGAAACUACGUGGCUGGAGUGUGGCAGAGGAAGGUGGAAUUCCACGUGUAGCGGUGAAAUGCGCAGAUAUCAGGAGGAACACCAAUGGCGAAGGCAGCUCGCUGGGACGUGACUGACGCUGAGACGCGAAAGCGUGGGGAGCAAACAGG